UUUGAUCAGAAGUGAGAAUGUUGACAUGAGUAGCGACAAACAGGGUGAGAGACCCUGUCGCCGAAAGUCCAAGGGUUCCUGCUUAAAGCUAAUCUGAGCAGGGUAAGCCGGCCCCUAAGGCGAGGCAGAAAUGCGUAGUCGAUGGGAACCACGUUAAUAUUCGUGGGCCAGAAGGAAGUGACGGAUCUCGAAGAUUGUUCGCCCUUAUCGGAUUGGGCGGGCCGUUUAGAGGUUCCUGGAAAUAGCCCUUCAUCAGACCGUACCCUAAACCGACACAGGUGGACUGGUAGAGAAUACCAAGGCGCUUGAGAGAACCACAUCAAAGGAACUCGGCAAAAUGCCUCCGUAAGUUCGCGAGAAGGAGGCCCCAUCUUUAGGCAACUAGAGGUGGGGGGCACAGACUAGGGGGUGGCGACUGUUUACUUAAAACACAGGGCUGUGCGAAGUCGCAAGACGACGUAUACAGUCUGACGCCUGCCCGGUGCUGGAAGGUUAAGAGGAGAGGUGCAAGCUUUGAAUUGAAGCCCCAGUAAACGGCGGCCGUAACUAUAACGGUCCUAAGGUAGCGAAAUUCCUUGUCGGGUAAGUUCCGACCUGCACGAAUGGCGUAACGAUCUCCCCGCUGUCUCUGAUGUGACUCAGCAAAAUUGAACUGUGUGUCAAGAUGCACACUACCCGCGGUUAGACGGAAAGACCCCAUGCACCUUUACUAUAGCUUCGCACUGGCAUCAGGAUUGAGAUGUGCAGGAUAGGUGGUAGGCUUUGAAGCGGGAACGCCAGUUUCCGUGGAGCCCCCCUUGAGAUACCACCCUUCGCACUCUUGAUGUCUAACCGCGGUCCGUUAUCCGGAUCCGGGACCCUGCGUGGUGGGUAGUUUGACUGGGGCGGUCGCCUCCUAAAGAGUAACGGAGGCGCGCGAAGGUUGGCUCAGAGCGGUCGGAAAUCGCUCGUUGAGUGCAAUGGCAGAAGCCAGCCUGACUGCAAGUCUGACAAGACGAGCAGAGACGAAAGUCGGCCAUAGUGAUCCGGUGGUCCCAAGUGGGAGGGCCAUCGCUCAACGGAUAAAAGGUACGCUGGGGAUAACAGGCUGAUGAUGCCCAAGAGUCCAUAUCGACGGCAUCGUUUGGCACCUCGAUGUCGGCUCAUCUCAUCCUGGGGCUGGAGCAGGUCCCAAGGGUAUGGCUGUUCGCCAUUUAAAGAGGUACGUGAGCCGGGUUUAGAACGUCGUGAGACAGUUCGGUCCCUAUCUGCCGUGGGUGUAGGAGAUUUGAGAAGAGUUGCCCCUAGUACGAGAGGACCGGGGUGAACGAACCACUGGUGGACCAGUUAUCGUGCCAACGGUAGUGCUGGGUAGCUAUGUUCGGACAGGAUAACCGCUGAAGGCAUCUAAGCGGGAAGCCCCCUUCAAAACAAGAUCUCCCUUGAGAGCCGUGGAAGACCACCACGUCGAUAGGCCAGAGAUGUAAGUGCGGUAACGCAUUCAGUUGACUGGUACUAAUUGCCC
RNAcentral lists this ribosomal RNA (1504 nucleotides) under metagenome. RNAcentral describes it as "bacterial LSU rRNA". It matches the Rfam family "Bacterial large subunit ribosomal RNA", at positions 1277 to 2910 of the family's 2925-position model. The record is from RNAcentral.